RNAcentral lists this ribosomal RNA (468 nucleotides) under uncultured bacterium. RNAcentral describes it as "partial 16S ribosomal RNA". It matches the Rfam family "Bacterial small subunit ribosomal RNA", at positions 28 to 507 of the family's 1533-position model. The record is from RNAcentral.
GAUGAACGCUGGCGGCGUGCUUAACACAUGCAAGUCGAACGGAAAGGCCCAAGCUUGCUUGGGUACUCGAGUGGCGAACGGGUGAGUAACACGUGGGUGAUCCGCCCUGCACUUCGGGAUAAGCCUGGGAAACUGGGUCUAAUACCGGAUAGGACGAUGGUUUGGAUGCCAUUGUGGAAAGUUUUUUCGGUGUGGGAUGAGCUCGCGGCCUAUCAGCUUGUUGGUGGGGUAAUGGCCUACCAAGGCGUCGACGGGUAGCCGGCCUGAGAGGGUGUACGGCCACAUUGGGACUGAGAUACGGCCCAGACUCCUACGGGAGGCAGCAGUGGGGAAUAUUGCACAAUGGGCGCAAGCCUGAUGCAGCGACGCCGCGUGGGGGAUGACGGCCUUCGGGUUGUAAGCUCCUUUCGCUAGGGACGAAGCGUUUUUGUGACGGUACCUGGAGAAGAAGCACCGGCUAACUACGUG